Molecule: long non-coding RNA, 2665 nt
Organism: Herpailurus yagouaroundi (jaguarundi)
Lineage: Eukaryota; Metazoa; Chordata; Mammalia; Carnivora; Felidae
Exons: 3
Source: RefSeq, a predicted model, not a curated record
CUCCCUCUCUCUCUCUUCCCCUCCACCAUGCUCGCUCGCUCUCUCUCUCAAAAAUAAACACUAAAAAAAUUGGUAAAAAUGGUAGAUUUUAUGUAAUGUAUACUUUACCACAGUUAAAAGCAGGAGGAAGAGGAAGAGAAGGAGAGGGGGGAGCUUCCAGGCAGAGAAGCAAAGAUGAAUGAUGGAGGAGUGCAGGUGGUUCCCUGGCUGCAGUGGGUCCUUGGGCCCCUUUGCUGUAGUACUUGUCUCAAAGGAUUGCCUGAGUCAACCUCCUCUUUUAGCAUCAGCUAGUUCAUGUUGGGUUUCUCUUCCUUGCAUCCAAUGGAGUCAUAACACAGAGGCUUUCCAUUCUCUCUUCUCUCUCGCAUCCUUUCGGACAUUCUCCACUCUUGUCACACGCUGCUGUCCACACUUGUCAGACUGAUCCUGUGUUUGUACUCCUAUGCCUUUCCUCCAGACUCCCUCUGCCCUUUCCCCUACUGACAAGUGUCGACUCCCUACUCUACUCCUCAUUUGAGACCCAGCUCAAAGGGCUCUUCCUCGGAAAGCCAUCCCUGACUACCCCGAGCAAGGCUUGCCAUUGCCCUCCUCUGGCCUGUCCAUGUCUUUGUCACCUAGUAUCCCAAUGACCUGCUUUCCUGUCUGCAACCCUCAUUAGGCUCUGUUUUUCAUCUCCAUGAUCCUAGUGCCUGACAAACAGCCUAGCACAAGGAAUCAUAAAUGUUUACUGAAUGAGUGAAAAAUGAGUAAGAAUCCUUCUUUCUCUCGUGCCAUCCCCCUGAGUCACUACUCAGUCUCCACCAAGUGGAGACACAGGAAAAAAAAAAAAAAAAAAGUAGGAGGAAUUGCUUUAGUCCCUCGAUUCAAGGGUGAUGGAUCCAGGAGGGAAGAAAACCCAGUAGGAAAGCAAUGGGCCAUUGCAAAGUUCAAUGGCAUUUAUGAGAGGUCAGCUUUCUGCCAAAGCACUGAUGGUGGCAGCUUUGAGCUGAGGCAGAGUUUGUUUGGACGCCAGUGCCAAGACAAGCAAACAUUCAGUGUUGAGCUUUUCAGCAAGCUUGGAUUCUGACAGCUGUGUGGGGAGAAACAACUAGAAGCCGUCUGGGUCUGCCUGGAAUCAGGAGUCCCUGUCUCCUUCAGACACAAUCUGACCCAAGGAACAAGGCAGCCUCUUCUCUACCCUUCAUCCCCACCACAGGCACACACCUCCUUGAAGGGACCCUGCCACUGAUCGGGACAUUUGGCACUGAGGACAGAGUAAAAAACAACUCUAGGGAGCUGUGGCUUUGAUAAUAUGGCUUACUAAAUAGUCCAUGGCUUCCCCCCUACAAUUCCCAGCCUCCCUUGCCGUUAGAUUCAGCUUGUGUGACAAGGUCUGGUUAAUAGUCUGAAUGGAAGUAAUGAGGGUCAUUUCCAGGCUGAAGUCUUUCAUUGCCAGUACAUUACCUUCUAUGUAGCAACCUUUCCCUUACUGAGGCAAUCCUGAAAGCCUUGUAUUGAGGUUGUAGAAGUGACCUGGAUCUCUGAGUUACCCAGUGGAGUAGAGGAUCGGUAGGCUGGAGAGCACCUUGAGCCAUAUCAGGCUUUGCAUGAGUGACAAAAAUAAACCUUUGUUGGGUUAAGCCGUUGAGCCAUUCGGGUUCUUUGUUACCAUAGCAGAGCCUAGCCUAUUCUGACGAAUAUAUAGAAAUUCAUUGUUGUUUUAGCCAUCCAGUAGCAAACCUCCUUACUUGAGGAGAAACAUGCCCCCUCCUUACGGUAUUGGUCACUUCUCUCUUCUUUCCUGACUUCUCAGCAGCAGUUGUCACAAUUGACAAUCGCAACAUUUCAUCUUGGGGUCUGUGACAUCACACCUGUCUGGUUUUUCUCCUCUCACAGUCCCUGCUUCUCAGUUUCCUUUGCUGGCUCCUCUUCCACUGUUUUACCUCAAAACUUUGAAGUUUCUUAGGGCUUAUUCCUGGGGACCUUUCUCGUGGUUGUAAAUGCCACCCAUGAGAAAGACACCUGGUACCUUCCAGUAUUCAUUCUACCAUUCUCUAUCAAUCACAGAGCCUCUAUUUUUAGCCAGGCACAUUGCGCCUAGUUAAAAGGCGACAUUUCUCAUCGUAGCUCAUUAUUUUGGCCAAUGAGAUGUCAGCAAAAAUGCGUGGGCCUUCCAGCGCAGUCUCUUAAAAAGAAAAGGGUGCACUUUUCCCCCUCUCUCCUGCAUGCUUCCAAAGGUGGAGCGCAAUGAGGUAAACCUAAGAUUGGAAACCAAGCGCUGAGUGUAGCAGAGCAGCUCAAAACUGCCUACCCUUGGACUUCUUUUUUGUGAAGAAAGAAAUCAAUUCCUAUCUUGCAUGCUCACAUCCCACCAGGAAGCCUGCGUACAGCAGAGGACAGACACCUCCAGGGGGAAAGAAACGCUGGGCCUCCUUCCGCAAUUGUGAAGUAACCUAAGUAUCUUUUGCUGGAAGUGGCAAUCAGCCUAUCCGCGAGGAAAGGCGAACCGAAAACUCCCAUCUCGAGGAUGAAGGCGGUAGGGGGUACAGAAUUGGGAAACGGGGCCGAGAAAAGCAGUCGGAUGUGUGGCUCCUCAAGAUGGCUACCCCGAACCCCAUGACCGGGAGGAAGCGGAGCUCCGCCCCAGCGCGCCGGGCCCCACCCCACUCGGCCCCGCCCAGCGCCU